UACGAAGGGGGCUAGCGUUGUUCGGAUUUACUGGGCGUAAAGCGCACGUAGGCGGAUCGUUAAGUCAGGGGUGAAAUCCUGGGGCUCAACCCCAGAACUGCCUUUGAUACUGGCGAUCUCGAGUCCGGAAGAGGUGAGUGGAACUCCUAGUGUAGAGGUGAAAUUCGUAGAUAUUGGGAAGAACACCAGUGGCGAAGGCGGCUAACUGGUCCGAUACUGACGCUGAGGUGCGAAAGCGUGGGGAGCAAACAGG
Molecule: ribosomal RNA, 253 nt
Filed under: uncultured bacterium
Lineage: Bacteria
Description: partial 16S ribosomal RNA
Rfam family: Bacterial small subunit ribosomal RNA
Source: RNAcentral